RNAcentral lists this ribosomal RNA (465 nucleotides) under uncultured bacterium. Its description in RNAcentral is "partial 16S ribosomal RNA". It matches the Rfam family "Bacterial small subunit ribosomal RNA", at positions 338 to 795 of the family's 1533-position model. The record is from RNAcentral.
CCUACGGGCGGCUGCAGUGGGGAAUAUUGCGCAAUGGGCGAAAGCCUUACGCAGCGACGCCGCGUGAGGGAUGAAGGUCUUCGGAUCGUACACCUCUGUCAGCAGGGAAGAACGGUCACUGUGCUAAUCAGCAGUGAAUUGACGGUACCUGCAAAGGAAGCACCGGCUAACUCCGUGCCAGCAGCCGCGGUAAUACGGAGGGUGCGAGCUUUAAUCGGAAUUACUGGGCGUAAAGCGCUCGUAGGCGGUAUGUCAAGUCAAGGGUGAAAUCCCCGCGCUCAACGUGGGAACUGCCUUUGAAACUGGCAAACUGGAGUGUGUGAGAGGAUAGUGGAAUUCCAGGUGUAGGAGUGAAAUCCGUAGAUAUCUGGAGGAACAUCAGGGGCGAAGGCGACUAUCUGGCACAUAACUGACGCUGAGGAGCGAAAGCGUGGGUAGCAAACAGGAUUAGAUACCCCAGUAGUC